This 220-nucleotide ribosomal RNA is filed under the name uncultured bacterium. RNAcentral describes it as "partial 16S ribosomal RNA". It matches the Rfam family "Bacterial small subunit ribosomal RNA", at positions 57 to 305 of the family's 1533-position model. The record is from RNAcentral.
GCAAGUCGAGCGAAGCCUUCGGGUUUAGCGGCGGACGGGUGAGUAACGCGUGGGAACAUACCUUUCACUACGGAAUAGCCCCGGGAAACUGGGAGUAAUACCGUAUACGCCCUUUUGGGGAAAGAUUUAUCGGUGAGAGAUUGGCCCGCGUUGGAUUAGGUAGUUGGUGGGGUAACGGCCUACCAAGUCUACGAUCUAUAGCUGGUUUUAGAGGAUGAUC